AAGUCGUAACAAGGUUUCCGUAGGUGAACCUGCGGAAGGAUCAUUAUUGAAUUAACUUGUUGGGUUGUAGCUGGCUCCUAGGAGCAUGUGCACGCCCUUCAUUGUUUUUCCACCUGUGCACUUUAUGUAGUCCUGGAAGUCCUGCAAAGGAUAUCCCAGCUCGGAGGAGCAUCAGCUUUUCUGGGUUUCCAGGUCUAUGUUUUCAUAUACCCCAUUAGAAUGUUCAGAAUGUCAUUUAUGGGCUUCAUGCCUUUAAACUAAAUACAACUUUCAACAACGGAUCUCUUGGUUCUC
Molecule: unclassified non-coding RNA, 294 nt
Filed under: air metagenome
Description: partial contains small subunit ribosomal RNA, internal transcribed spacer 1, and 5.8S ribosomal RNA
Rfam family: Eukaryotic small subunit ribosomal RNA (bases 1-46)
Source: RNAcentral